AUGCAGAAAAUAGACAUGCGUGAUCAUGCUGUUGUUGAUUUUAGAGGAUUAUGGCAGCUUGAAUUAUCAGUUUAACACAUUCUAAAGUCCGAAAAAUAGAAAAAAAAAUGGUCCAAAUGUCCAAAUUAACCAAAAUACUCCAUUUCUUGUCCAAUUCUUGAUCAAUUCUUGCAAAAUCACAAGUAGAAUGAGCCUAUUGCUCUGAUACCACUUGAAAAACCUAGAUAAAAUCUUGUUCUAAGUCAUUAAACUUCAACGAACAGGAGCUUCUACUUUGAACAACAGUUCAACGUACAGAAUCCAUCAAACUGUGUGAGAAUGCAAGAAGGUAAAUAAACGUUUCUUCUAUUCAAAAAUCCAAAUGGACAGUUUCAUUACAGUUUCUUACCCACGCAUGAGUCAUGCGCAACGUAUGAGUCAUACGUUGAUACUAUGCCAUGCGUGACUUACAACAAACACACAAAACACAAACACAUUGGAACUCAAUCCUAAAUACAAACGGAUAACACUUUCAAGACAAAUGACAAAAGCAAUAGACAUUAUGGCUGAACAGGAGAAGCUUAUUGUCGCUGGUCACGGUCGUCAGGCGUAAGAAAAGUGUGUUCUCUGAUCUUCGGACGUCUUUUUUGAGGAACGCCACUACGUGGACCUAUCUUCGAUGGUUUGCAGCAUAUCUAAAAGAAACUCAUAAACCGACUUCCGAUUAAAAACCAUGUCAUUACGCAAAUGCCAUAAGCACCAAAGAGCAAUCAAAACCACAACAUGAAAGGCUUUCCUCUUUUUCUUGGAUCCAUGGAUGAACUCAUGCAAAUCACGAAUGUCACGUAAAGUAAAGGCAUAGAUAGAUCGGACUUCACACCAGGUAGAGAUAACCUGCCAUGUACACUGCGCAAAGGCACAAGAGACGAAUAUGUACUCACACGAUGAAAUGAUCUCCCCAUAGAAAACACACAAAUCCGAGAUGACAAUAAUAUUUCUUUUGGUCAAGGAAUCAGCGGUAGGCAGGGACGGAGCUUAAUGGAAACCCAGGGGUAGGCAAUGAUCAACCCCCCCGGGAACUUUUAGUCAAGCUCCACCACUGGCGGUAGGCAGCUGGUUCUUCUCAGCCCUCUAUAUUUCUUUUGGGGACCCACUGAAAACAUAAGCCAAGGCUGAAUAUCUAGCCAUAAAUUCAACUCAAGACAAGCAUAUGUGUUAGCUACAAAUUGAGAAGAACACAAGAGAGAAGGAAAUUGUUCAAUUCACAGCUAUCAUUCUCAUUAACCAACUAGUUAGUUAUAGUAACUAACAACUCCUAACCACUGUCAUUACAAUAUUACAACUAACCCCCCUGACUAACACAUUAUUACAGUCUAACCCCCCAUAUUACAUUCACUAUCUAACAAUAUGCAACUUCACUACUGGAUUAGGCAAAAGCUGGUGAAAAGUUGGCAGCUGCGUUACAAAAAUAAGCAAACAUAAACGAACACGUCAAGCGAAAAUAGUUAACAAAACCUGCAGAACAGAUCAAAAGACACAAAGAAUUGUGCAUGAUUUCUGGAUUAUAAGUUAAACACACAAAGAACAUUCCCCCUUGUUACUGUUCUAUGCUACAUAUGUCCUCAUAGUCCAGAGGCUUGUCACUUAUGCAUUAAAAGAGUUUUAAAGUAGUGAUUCUAUACCUGAGUAUGUAGCAUAAAAGUCUUAAACUAAAGGAAAAAGAACCUCAAAUUCACUCAACUUACAUUUUUUGGAGUAUGCAAUGUCAGUAAACUCAUAUCUUAAGCAUUGUAAUUACAAACAAAAACAGGCAUAUAUAGCA
Molecule: long non-coding RNA, 1801 nt
Filed under: Helianthus annuus (common sunflower)
Lineage: Eukaryota; Viridiplantae; Streptophyta; Magnoliopsida; Asterales; Asteraceae
Description: hypothetical non coding rna
Source: RNAcentral